GCCUACCUGAUGAGUCCCAAAAAGGGCGAAACCAGUCGUGGGC
This is a non-coding RNA of Clonorchis sinensis, 43 nucleotides long. NCBI's taxonomy places the organism in Eukaryota, Metazoa, Platyhelminthes, Trematoda, Opisthorchiida, Opisthorchiidae. The record is from Rfam.